UACGUAGGGUGCAAGCGUUAAUCGGAAUUACUGGGCGUAAAGCGUGCGCAGGCGGUUUUGUAAGUUUGUCGUGAAAUCCCCGGGCUCAACCUGGGAAUUGCGAUGAAGACUGCAAGGCUUGAAUCUGGCAGAGGGGGGUAGAAUUCCACGUGUAGCAGUGAAAUGCGUAGAGAUGUGGAGGAACACCGAUGGCGAAGGCAGCCCCCUGGGUCAAGAUUGACGCUCAUGCACGAAAGCGUGGGGAGCAAACAGG
RNAcentral lists this ribosomal RNA (253 nucleotides) under uncultured bacterium. RNAcentral describes it as "partial 16S ribosomal RNA". It matches the Rfam family "Bacterial small subunit ribosomal RNA", at positions 524 to 776 of the family's 1533-position model. The record is from RNAcentral.